AACGAACGCUGGCGGCAGGCUUAACGCAUGCAAGUCGAGCGCCCCGCAAGGGGAGCGGCAGACGGGUGAGUAACGCGUGGGAACGUACCUUUUGGUUCGGAACAACUCCGGGAAACUGGAGCUAAUACCGGAUAAGCCCUAACGGGGAAAGAUUUAUCGCCGAAAGAUCGGCCCGCGUCUGAUUAGCUAGUUGGUGAGGUAACGGCUCACCAAGGCGACGAUCAGUAGCUGGUCUGAGAGGAUGAUCGGCCACACUGGGACUGAGACACGGCCCAGACUCCUACGGGAGGCAGCAGUGGGGAAUAUUGGACAAUGGGCGCAAGCCUGAUCCAGCCAUGCCGCGUGAGUGAUGAAGGCCUUAGGGUUGUAAAGCUCUUUUGUCCGGGAAGAUAAUGACUGUACCGGAAGAAUAAGCCCCGGCUAACUUCGUG
This 431-nucleotide ribosomal RNA is filed under the name uncultured bacterium. RNAcentral's name for it is "partial 16S ribosomal RNA". It matches the Rfam family "Bacterial small subunit ribosomal RNA", at positions 29 to 507 of the family's 1533-position model. The record is from RNAcentral.